Molecule: ribosomal RNA, 253 nt
Filed under: uncultured bacterium
Lineage: Bacteria
Description: partial 16S ribosomal RNA
Rfam family: Bacterial small subunit ribosomal RNA
Source: RNAcentral
UACGUAGGGGGCUAGCGUUGUCCGGAUUUAUUGGGCGUAAAGAGCGUGUAGGCGGCCAGGUAGGUCUGGUGUGAAAUCUCGAGGCUCAACUUCGAGCUGUCGGUGGAAACUGUCUGGCUAGAGUCCGGAAGAGGAGAAUGGAAUUCCUGGUGUAGCGGUGAAAUGCGCAGAUAUCAGGAAGAACACCCGUGGCGAAGGCGGAUCUCUGGGCCAUUACUGACGCUGAGGAGCGAAAGCGUGGGGAGCGAACAGG